GACGAACGCUGGCGGCGUGCUUAACACAUGCAAGUCGAACGGAAAGGCCCUGCUUUUGUGGGGUGCUCGAGUGGCGAACGGGUGAGUAACACGUGAGUAACCUGCCCUUGACUUUGGGAUAACUUCAGGAAACUGGGGCUAAUACCGGAUAGGAGCUCCUGCUGCAUGUUGGGGGUUGGAAAGUUUCGGCGGUUGGGGAUGGACUCGCGGCUUAUCAGCUUGUUGGUGUGGUAGUGGCUUACCAAGGCUUUGACGGGUAGCCGGCCUGAGAGGGUGACCGGCCACAUUGGGACUGAGAUACGGACCAGACUCCUACGGGAGGCAGCAGUGGGGAAUAUUGCACAAUGGGCGGAAGCCUGAUGCAGCAACGCCGGGUGCGGGAUGACGGCCUUCGGGUUGUAAACCGCUUUCGACUGUGACGAAGCGGGAGUGACGGUAAUGGGUAAAGAAGCACCGGCUAACUACGUG
This 468-nucleotide ribosomal RNA is filed under the name uncultured bacterium. Its description in RNAcentral is "partial 16S ribosomal RNA". It matches the Rfam family "Bacterial small subunit ribosomal RNA", at positions 28 to 507 of the family's 1533-position model. The record is from RNAcentral.